Molecule: ribosomal RNA, 288 nt
Filed under: uncultured bacterium
Lineage: Bacteria
Description: partial 16S ribosomal RNA
Rfam family: Bacterial small subunit ribosomal RNA
Source: RNAcentral
GUGGAUUAGAUACCCUAGUAGUCCACGCUGUAAACGAUGUCAACUAGCCGUUGGGACACUUGAUGUCUUAGUGGCGCAGCUAACGCGAUAAGUUGACCGCCUGGGGAGUACGGUCGCAAGAUUAAAACUCAAAUGAAUUGACGGGGGCCCGCACAAGCGGUGGAGCAUGUGGUUUAAUUCGACGCAACGCGAAGAACCUUACCUACUCUUGACAUCCAGAGAACUUUCCAGAGAUGGAUUGGUGCCUUCGGGAACUCUGAGACAGGUGCUGCACGGCCGUCGACAGCU